RNAcentral lists this ribosomal RNA (330 nucleotides) under uncultured bacterium. Its description in RNAcentral is "bacterial SSU rRNA". It matches the Rfam family "Bacterial small subunit ribosomal RNA", at positions 568 to 898 of the family's 1533-position model. The record is from RNAcentral.
CAAGUAGGCGGCUUGGUAAGUAGGGGGUGAAAUACUCCGGCUCAAUCGGAGAACAGCCUUCUAAACUGCCAGGCUUGAGUAUGACAGAGGAAAAUGGAAUUCUAGGUGUAAGGGUGAAAUCUGUAGAUAUCUAGAAGAACACCAGCGGCGAAGGCGAUUUUCUGGGUCAUUACUGACGCUAAAUUGCGAAAGCUAGGGGAGCAAACAGAAUUAGAUACUCUGGUAGUCCUAGCCGUAAACGAUGAGCACUAGAUGUCGGCUCCUUUAGGAGUCGGUGUCGCAGCUAACGCAUUAAGUGCUCCACCUGGGGACUACGGUCGCAAGGCUAAA